UACGUAGGGUGCGAGCGUUGUCCGGAAUUAUUGGGCGUAAAGAGCUUGUAGGCGGUUUGUCGCGUCUGCUGUGAAAAUCCGGGGCUCAACCCCGGACUUGCAGUGGGUACGGGCAGACUAGAGUGUGGUAGGGGAGACUGGAAUUCCUGGUGUAGCGGUGGAAUGCGCAGAUAUCAGGAGGAACACCGAUGGCGAAGGCAGGUCUCUGGGCCACUACUGACGCGUAGAAGCGAAAGCAUGGGGAGCGAACAGG
This 253-nucleotide ribosomal RNA is filed under the name uncultured bacterium. Its description in RNAcentral is "partial 16S ribosomal RNA". It matches the Rfam family "Bacterial small subunit ribosomal RNA", at positions 524 to 776 of the family's 1533-position model. The record is from RNAcentral.